This 484-nucleotide ribosomal RNA is filed under the name uncultured bacterium. RNAcentral's name for it is "partial 16S ribosomal RNA". It matches the Rfam family "Bacterial small subunit ribosomal RNA", at positions 29 to 523 of the family's 1533-position model. The record is from RNAcentral.
AGUGAACGCUGGCGGCGUGCUUAACACAUGCAAGUCGAACGAGAACGGAUUAUAGCUUGCUAUAAUUGUCAGCUAAGUGGCGCACGGGUGAGUAAUGUAUAGGUAAUAUGCCUCUUACUAAGGGAUAACAAAUGGAAACGUUUGCUAAUACCUUAUACUCCUUAUUAACAGAAGUUAAUAAGGGAAAGAUUUAUUGGUAAGAGAUUAGCCUGUAUUGUAUCAGUUAGUUGGUGAGGUAAUGGCUUACCAAGACUAUGACACAUAACUGGUUUGAGAGGAUGAUCAGUCACACUGGAACUGAGACACGGUCCAGACUCCUACGGGAGGCAGCAGUGGGGAAUAUUGCACAAUGGACGAAAGUCUGAUGCAGCAACGCCGCGUGGAGGAUGACACAUUUCGGUGCGUAAACUCCUUUUAUACGAGAAGAUAAUGACGGUAUUAUAUGAAUAAGCACCGGCUAACUCCGUGCCAGCCGCCGCUGUAA